RNAcentral lists this long non-coding RNA (880 nucleotides) under Gossypium barbadense (sea-island cotton). RNAcentral describes it as "long non-coding RNA (GBAR_LNC002713)". Lineage: Eukaryota; Viridiplantae; Streptophyta; Magnoliopsida; Malvales; Malvaceae. The record is from RNAcentral.
UUUUCUGGAAAAAAAAAAGGGAAAAGGGUCUUAUUUUCUCUCUGGGGCCUCUGUUUCCAACGAUCGGACCACCGUCUGUCCGUUGUCAGCGACCGCUGUGCAUGGCGGCCGGAGGUACGAAACUGGCCCCCUUUUUACCCUUUUGCCUUCUCCGACCCAGAUCUGUGGUCAAAACAUUCAAAAACUCUACAGAAGCCGAAAGAACAUGAAGAAGCUCCAAUGUUUCGUCCUCCUGAUCAUCGACAAGAAAGAUGAAAAAAAAGGUAAAAGGUUGAACCUUUUAUAUAUAUAUGCAUGUAUACUAUAUUCGAUGUGCGUAGGCUAUAAAAACAUGAAAAUAUACCUUCGAAUAAAUUGUUUUUUUUUUUAAUAUAUCUUUCUUUCUUUCUAUUGGUACUUUUCCAUUCUCUCCCCCUUUUUUACAAACCGCUCUCUUUGGGCUUUAUAGCCGAGAAAAAAAAUAAUACAAAGAAUUUCUUUGUUGUGCUGUUUUUCUCUUUUCGUCUCUUUGUCGCUGUCGAUUCUGCAUUGGCUCGCAGGUACAGGAGUACGGAGGUACGUGGUGGUACGGAGACUAUGCACUGGAGGCUGCUGAAGCAACGCAAGGCUAGCGGCUAAGGUUCCUAGUUGACUGAAACUUGUUUGAGUUUUGGGCCGUUUGGGCCUUGUAAUUUUGGGUCUUCAAUCUUGGGCUUCUGUUUGUAAAAUUUUGGGCUUAGUUUUAUUAUUAUUGCGCAUUGGGCCAUUGUAAUUGUUUUGGGCUGUAAUAUUUGGACAGUGGACAUUUGUUCAUUUUGGUUUAUUCUCUAUUUCUUUUGUUGGGUUUUUUAGUCUGGGCCAAAAUUGGCCUAUUACAGUAUAUUUUCUAAAUAAAUCUCAC